CGCGGGGUGUGUCGCUGGAGGCUGGGGUGGCUGGGAGCUGCCUGCUUCAUCCCCAAGGUUUCUGGAGCAGAGCAAGGGUGCACAGAGCCGGCUGUGGAGAUGGAGUCUCCUGCCGCUGCUGCAUCUCCCAUGGGUGCGGCGCAGGAUGGGAGGAAACAGGGCUGUUGUGGUGGGGCUUGGCUUCAGCUCCCCCGUUAAGCGUUUGAGAACCAAAUCAGUGAGAGGCCCCUUGCUGUGCCUCAGUUCCUCUCACAGCAGGGCUGGGGGGAGCAGUGGUGGGGUCUGGCUGUGUCCUGGGGUCACUACUGGCCCGUGGUGGGGUGAAGUGUCACAUUUCACACUGGCUUUGCCCCCGUGCAGGGCCAUCCCCGGGGGCAGCAGGGGCUUCUCCCCGGGCAGCCGCACUGGGAGCACUCCCUGGGUUUGUGCUGCCCCCCUCCCCUCUUUCUGGAACUCGGCACUCAGAGCAGCGAUGCUUUUGAUGCUGAUGCCAAGGCUGAACUCGUUACGUGGAUAUUUUUAUAUCAGACUCCAGAGGAGAUCGGAAGAGCAC
This is a long non-coding RNA of Empidonax traillii (willow flycatcher), 553 nucleotides long. RefSeq lists it as uncharacterized. The record is from RefSeq and is a predicted model, not a curated record. Lineage: Eukaryota; Metazoa; Chordata; Aves; Passeriformes; Tyrannidae. The transcript has 3 exons.